GAUCAUGGCUCAGGACGAACGCUGGCGGCGUGCUUAACACAUGCAAGUCGAACGAGAAUCUACUGAAAGAGUUUUCGUACAAUGGAAGUAGAGGAAAGUGGCGGACGGGUGAGUAACGCGUGAGGAACCUGCCUUGAAGAGGGGGACAACAGUUGGAAACGACUGCUAAUACCGCAUGAUGCAUAAGGGUCGCAUGAUUCUUAUGCCAAAGAUUUAUCGCUUCAAGAUGGCCUCGCG
RNAcentral lists this ribosomal RNA (237 nucleotides) under uncultured bacterium. RNAcentral's name for it is "partial 16S ribosomal RNA". It matches the Rfam family "Bacterial small subunit ribosomal RNA", at positions 15 to 235 of the family's 1533-position model. The record is from RNAcentral.